RNAcentral lists this ribosomal RNA (543 nucleotides) under uncultured bacterium. Its description in RNAcentral is "bacterial SSU rRNA". It matches the Rfam family "Bacterial small subunit ribosomal RNA", at positions 235 to 770 of the family's 1533-position model. The record is from RNAcentral.
AUCAGAUUAGCUAGUUGGUGGGGUAAAAGCCCACCAAGGCGACGAUCUGUAGCUGGUCUGAGAGGACGACCAGCCACACUGGGACUGAGACACGGCCCAGACUCCUACGGGAGGCAGCAGUGGGGAAUUUUGGACAAUGGGCGCAAGCCUGAUCCAGCAAUGCCGCGUGCAGGAUGAAGGCCUUCGGGUUGUAAACUGCUUUUGUACGGAGCGAAAAGGCUUCUUCUAAUACAGGAGGCUCAUGACGGUACCGUAAGAAUAAGCACCGGCUAACUACGUGCCAGCAGCCGCGGUAAUACGUAGGGUGCAAGCGUUAAUCGGAAUUACUGGGCGUAAAGCGUGCGCAGGCGGUUAUAUAAGUCAGAUGUGAAAUCCCCGGGCUCAACCUGGGACCUGCAUUUGAGACUGUAUAGCUAGAGUACGGUAGAGGGGGAUGGAAUUCCGCGUGUAGCAGUGAAAUGCGUAGAUAUGCGGAGGAACACCGAUGGCGAAAGCAAUCCCCUGGACCUGUACUGACGCUCAUGCACGAAAGCGUGGGGAGCA